GUGCUCACUUCAGCCACACAAAUACUAAAAUUGGAGCAAUACAGAGAAGAUUAGCAUGCUCUCCCCACAAGAGGAUGACAUGCAAAUUCAUGAAGGGUUCCAUAAUUUU
This is a small nuclear RNA of Sorex fumeus (smoky shrew), 109 nucleotides long. Lineage: Eukaryota; Metazoa; Chordata; Mammalia; Eulipotyphla; Soricidae. The record is from RefSeq and is a predicted model, not a curated record.